Molecule: ribosomal RNA, 484 nt
Filed under: uncultured bacterium
Lineage: Bacteria
Description: partial 16S ribosomal RNA
Rfam family: Bacterial small subunit ribosomal RNA
Source: RNAcentral
AUUGAACGCUGGCGGCAGGCCUAACACAUGCCAGUCGAGCGGAUGAAGGGAGCUUGCUCCUGGAUUCAGCGGCGGACGGGUGAGUAAUGCCUAGGAAUCUGCCUGGUAGUGGGGGAUAACGUCCGGAAACGGGCGCUAAUACCGCAUACGUCCUGAGGGAGAAAGUGGGGGAUCUUCGGACCUCACGCUAUCAGAUGAGACUAGGUCGGAUUAGCUAGUUGGUGGGGUAAAGGCCUACCAAGGCGACGAUCCGUAACUGGUCUGAGAGGAUGAUCAGUCACACUGGAACUGAAACACGGUCCAGACUCCUACGGGAGGCAGCAGUGGGGAAUAUUGGACAAUGGGCGAAAGCCUGAUCCAGCCAUGCCGCGUGUGUGAAGAAGGUCUUCGGAUUGUAAAGCACUUUAAGUUGGGAGGAAGGGCAGUAAGUUAAUACCUUGCUGUUUUGACGUUACCAACAGAAUAAGCACCGGCUAACUUCGUG